CCUGAGCGUGUCACAUGGACAUGAUAUAAUGAAAAGGCAGGAACAUAGACCCAGAGUGCGCUGAGCUUUUGCCUGAUGGAGAGGAGACUAAAGAUCUACGCAGCCGUCCGCCGACAGCCGGCAGCCCUGCAGGGAAAGGGACAGCGGGGACGGGCCGAGCCGAGCCGAGCCGAGCCGAUCCUGGCCGGGGCGGACCGAGCCGGACUCACUGCGCCUCAUCGGACAGGACCUCUCUAUUUGCAGUUGCACCUGCCAGCUAUGACACGCACUUUUAAAGAGGAGGAAAAUGUCGCCUGUGAGUGCGCGUCUUUGGUCCCGAGGAGGAGGAGGAGGGGGAGGAGGAGGAAGAGGAGGAGGAGGAAGAGCGGAUUCAGCGUGAGUGAAGUUAUUUCUAAAUGCUCUGAUGGCUGAUGUGGGAUCGGCGCUGCGUGUGCUGCCGCAGGUGCGUUUGCGCGCUUGUGUUGUGCCUGGGUGUUUGCUGUAUUCUGCUUGGCAUGCUCGGCCAGCUCCCGCCACCACCACCACCUCCUUCUCCUCUUCCUCCUCCUCCUCUUCCCUUGACACACUCUCACACCCAUCACCCUGCAAGUCCACCAAAGUGAGAUACAUCCCCAAGGCAACAGAAGCGAUGGCGACACUGGCCCUGAAGGGAGUGAGAGAGAUGAGUGAAAAAAUGUGAAGAGGCAGGGUGGGUUAUAGAAACAGUUGCGAGGUCAGAGUGAUGAAUAAAGAAGAAGGAACCAGGAACAAAAACAGACAAACCAAUCGAUGCUACCCAUUUUCAGGCCCCUGCUAUUGACAUGGUUGUAUUUGCUUGUGGAUUUAUCCGGUCUGUUUGUACAUCCUUUUCUGGGUCCUGGCUGGGAGAGUUUCUUUGGUCUGUAGUCUGCCUUUGUCCAGCAGACGAAGGAGGGAACACUCUUUCCGCAGAACCAGUUACCCCAGUGACCAGCACUACCAACACACUCUGCAGGAAGAAAUGACAGAGUUAUGUGGUGAUUUUAUAAUGUCCCAUGUUCUAGUGCAUCCACAAAACAGCAUAAACAAGCCUCUUGAUUUCUGAGAAAGCCUCUUGAUGUGGGCAGGACUUGGUGACGCUGCUGACUUUGUUGUGUUUUUAUACACAUGCGUUUCCUUCAUCUAUCAUCAACCACAACCACCUCUACACAUUGAUAAGCAGUGCAACAGCUCCCCUCUUCUUUGCUGGCUUUUACGUCAGUGUGACUGGCCUAGAUUGUUGAAAAUGGCCCUGGAACACUUGCCGUUUAUAGCCUUUCCUCUACCUCUCCCUGAUGUAACAGCAGAGCACGACUUUCCCAAAAAAAUUUAAAAAAAAAAUCUGCUGCCCUUUCCUAAAUGCUGAACAAUGGAAUCAGAAACAGGGAUGAUACUCACAGAACAGACCAGUUCUUGGCCAUCACCAAAAGCAAAAGUUAGUUCUGACUGUCACAGUCAUAUGUGGGCCAGUGUAGAAUAACAAAACCUUUUACAGUGAAACAAAAAAAGCUUGACUCUACAGACGGACUCACUCACACACACCAACUCAAUGCAUCCAGCAUCCUUGUGGUGCCAGAAAGUAGACAUGAACAGAGACUAACUUUGUUCACUGUGAACCGUUAUAAAAUAUACACAAAAGGAUUAAAAAUACUGAAAUGUUUUGUUUUGUUAGAAUACAAUGGUAUAGUCAAUGUUAGCCUAUUAUUAAUCUUAAACUAACACUUUCUCCUAACAAGACUUUUAAUACCAUGAUAUUAAUAUGGGCUGUUUUAACAUAAAAUUAUUAAUAUUGUAUCUGUGCAGCAUAAUUUUGAAGCAGAGUUACUAUUAGUUUAGUGCUUUCUCAACACAGACUCCUGACAAGUUACACAUUAGUAAAUAUAUCACAGUUUUAAAUACAUUUAGAUAAAUUAGUAUUCCUUGGCCUUUUCUUGUUAGUGGAAGAACGACAACAUCAUCAUCACUUUGUCGAGAUGAUUUAAAAAAA
Sphaeramia orbicularis (orbiculate cardinalfish) is the source of this 1984-nucleotide RNA transcript. It is a transcript of the gene named DM7 family protein GE17491-like, with no coding region annotated. The transcript has 2 exons. The record is from RefSeq and is a predicted model, not a curated record. NCBI's taxonomy places the organism in Eukaryota, Metazoa, Chordata, Actinopteri, Kurtiformes, Apogonidae.